Molecule: ribosomal RNA, 517 nt
Filed under: Dactylium candidum
Lineage: Eukaryota; Fungi; Ascomycota; Orbiliomycetes; Orbiliales; Orbiliaceae
Description: SSU rRNA
Rfam family: Eukaryotic small subunit ribosomal RNA
Source: RNAcentral
UCGUUAAUUUUGGUUGCCAGCAGCCUCUAAGUACAGUGAAACUGCGAAUGGCUCAUUAAAUCAGUUAUCGUUUAUUUGAUAGUACCUUACUACUUGGAUAACCGUGGUAAUUCUAGAGCUAAUACAUGCUAAAAAUCCCGACCUCCGGAAGGGAUGUAUUUAUUAGAUAAAAAACCAAUGGCUUCGGCCUCCUUGGUGAUUCAUGAUAACUUAACGAAUCGCAUGGCCUUGCGCCGGCGAUGGUUCAUUCAAAUUUCUGCCCUAUCAACUUUCGAUGGUAGGAUAGUGGCCUACCAUGGUUUCAACGGGUAACGGGGAAUUAGGGUUCGAUUCCGGAGAGGGAGCCUGAGAAACGGCUACCACAUCCAAGGAAGGCAGCAGGCGCGCAAAUUACCCAAUCCCAAUUCGGGGAGGUAGUGACAAUAAAUACUGAUACAGGGCUCUUUUGGGUCUUGUAAUUGGAAUGAGUACAAUUUAAAUCCCUUAACGAGGAACAAUUGGAGGGCAAGUCUGGGCC